AUGAUUGGCCUGAUGGCCUUAUCAAUAUUAAUCCCAACACCUCUGUGAACCGUUUUCGGCCCUCGGGCUGAUCUUUUUGCAAUACAAACACUGUGUAAUGAACGUCUUGUCAUCUUAACAGAACA
RNAcentral lists this unclassified non-coding RNA (125 nucleotides) under uncultured fungus. RNAcentral describes it as "sequence contains ITS1". The record is from RNAcentral. Lineage: Eukaryota; Fungi.